Molecule: ribosomal RNA, 448 nt
Filed under: uncultured Desulfobulbus sp.
Lineage: Bacteria; Pseudomonadati; Thermodesulfobacteriota; Desulfobulbia; Desulfobulbales; Desulfobulbaceae
Description: bacterial SSU rRNA
Rfam family: Bacterial small subunit ribosomal RNA
Source: RNAcentral
UGUGGUUUAAUUCGAUGCAACGCGAAGAACCUUACCUGGUCUUGACAUCCCGGAGACCCUUAGGAAACUAGGGGGUGCUUCCAUCUGGAAGAAUCUGGAGACAGGUGCUGCAUGGCUGUCGUCAGCUCGUGUCGUGAGAUGUUGGGUUAAGUCCCGCAACGAGCGCAACCCUUGCCUUUAGUUGCCAGCAGUUCGGCUGGGCACUCUAAAGGGACUGCCGGUGUUAAACCGGAGGAAGGUGGGGAUGACGUCAAGUCCUCAUGGCCUUUAUGACCAGGGCUACACACGUACUACAAUGGCCGAUACAAAGGGCAGCGACACUGCGAGGUGAAGCCAAUCCCGUAAAAUCGGUCUCAGUCCGGAUUGGAGUCUGCAACUCGACUCCAUGAAGUUGGAAUCGCUAGUAAUCGUGGAUCAGCAUGCCACGGUGAAUACGUUCCCGGGCCUU